This is a long non-coding RNA of Herpailurus yagouaroundi (jaguarundi), 1160 nucleotides long. RefSeq lists it as uncharacterized. Lineage: Eukaryota; Metazoa; Chordata; Mammalia; Carnivora; Felidae. The transcript is spliced from 2 exons. The record is from RefSeq and is a predicted model, not a curated record.
GCGUGGUCGCCCGCGUGGCGCGGCCACUGCUCCGGGGCCGCCGGCUCCUAGGCGCUGGGAGGGCGAAGCGGAAGAGCGGGUUAAUUCAUCCACGCGCCCCGCAAACUUUUCUAACCCGGUGGGAAAGUGAGCCGCGGCGGCCGCACCGAGCCUUUUAGCCUCACGUUCCCGAGCCUCGAGGGGGCUCUGGGACCAGCCCGCCUCGCAGCGGCGACACAAAUACAUAUUUUGCAAAAAAGGGGGAAAAAAAAAACCACCGAGUUGCGCGAACCCGUCAAGUCAAAUGUGCUUGGCUUUCAGCGGCGGGGGCGCUGACGUCAGCCCACGCCGCGCAGCUCUGCCGGGCCGCAGACGUGCGGGUCACUGGCGGCGGCCGGGCUGCGGGGCUGCGGGGCUGCGGGGCGGGGGCGCCGCGCGGGGCGAAGAGGCCACAACAGGCUCUGACAAAUGAAUUCCGUCCGUGGAGUCAAUAUCGCCCCCACGAAUGCCGUUUCUCCUUAGUCACCGAGGAUGGGAAGCACUUUUAAUUAGAAAUUAAUUAAUGAGCACCUGCGCCUGCCCGCCCCACUGUAAUCAUUAGUCUCAAUUACAAAUGAGACAUGUGAAGGGACACACGAGCGAGUCUCCACUGAAGAUGUAAUCAACAGUUAAAAUUAGCCGGGCGCUGGCGCAGGCGGCCGGGCCUCCGCGCCCCGCUCGGCGGCAGGUGCCGGAGGGCGGCUCCGCAGGCCCGCGCGCGACCCCGACUAUUGUUUCACUGGCUCUCCGCUCGGCCUCCCGCCGGUUCGAACCCUGCUCCGGGGCGGGGAGCUCCAGAACCAGAUGCGGCUGCCACUGUGCGCGUCCGAAGGGCAACCUGCUCUCAGCUGCAAACCUGCCUCCCAGAAACGAAAUCUGCCCGCUCUGACAGCUCGGUUGAAGGUGAUUGAUGACUGUCUGGAGACCACAGUACGCAUCAUAUAAUAUCUGCUGCGUAAUUGCUUUAAUUUACAGAUGAAUAUACGAGCUCUCCGAUCGCGCUGAACCACAGCCGGCCACGUCCGAGCUGCUUGCGAAGGAAAAUCAUCGGAAAUAAUGAAUAGCCGCCCCAUGCAAAUUAUUCAGACAGUUUAAGCGUCUGUAGCCGGGAGAGAUAUAUAAAGAACACGAGUCAAAUGACA